UAAAGUGGCGUACGGGUGAGUAACACGUGGAUGAUCUACCUCUUGGCGGGGAAUACCCAGGGAAACCAGGGACAAUACCGCAUAAGCUCGAGAGAGGAAACCUGAAAAGGGCCGAGAGAGGAGUCCGCGGUCGAUUAGCUAGUUGGUAGGGUAAGAGCCUACCAAGGCAAAGAUCGAUAGCCGGCCUGAGAGGGCACACGGCCACACUGGCACUGAAACACGGGCCAG
RNAcentral lists this ribosomal RNA (228 nucleotides) under uncultured bacterium. RNAcentral's name for it is "partial 16S ribosomal RNA". It matches the Rfam family "Bacterial small subunit ribosomal RNA", at positions 91 to 334 of the family's 1533-position model. The record is from RNAcentral.